This 990-nucleotide ribosomal RNA is filed under the name uncultured cyanobacterium. RNAcentral's name for it is "bacterial SSU rRNA". It matches the Rfam family "Bacterial small subunit ribosomal RNA", at positions 508 to 1504 of the family's 1533-position model. Lineage: Bacteria; Bacillati; Cyanobacteriota. The record is from RNAcentral.
CCAGCAGCCGCGGUAAUACGGGAGUGGCAAGCGUUAUCCGGAAUUAUUGGGCGUAAAGCGUCCGCAGGCGGUCUUUUAAGUCUGUUGUUAAAGCGUGGAGCUUAACUCCAUUUCAGCAAUGGAAACUGGAAGACUAGAGUGUGGUAGGGGCAGAGGGAAUUCCCGGUGUAGCGGUGAAAUGCGUAGAUAUCGGGAAGAACACCAGUGGCGAAGGCGUUCUGCUGGGCCAUAACUGACGCUCAUGGACGAAAGCCAGGGGAGCGAAAGGGAUUAGAUACCCCUGUAGUCCUGGCCGUAAACGAUGAACACUAGGUGUCGGGGGAAUCGACCCCCUCGGUGUCGUAGCCAACGCGUUAAGUGUUCCGCCUGGGGAGUACGCACGCAAGUGUGAAACUCAAAGGAAUUGACGGGGGCCCGCACAAGCGGUGGAGUAUGUGGUUUAAUUCGAUGCAACGCGAAGAUCUUACCAGGGUUUGACAUCCUGCGAAUCUUUUGGAAACAGAAGAGUGCCUUCGGGAACGCAGUGACAGUGUGCAUGCUGUCGUCAGCUCGUGUCGUGAGAUGUUGGGUUAGUCCCGCACGAGCGCAACCCACGUCGUUAGUUGCCAGCAUUAAUUGGGCACUCUAGCGAGACCGCCGGUGAUAAACCGGAGGAAGGUGUGGAUGACGUCAAGUCAUCAUGCCCCUUACAUCCUGGGCUACACACGUACUACAAUGCUACGGACAAAGGGCAGCAAACUCGCGAGAGCUAGCAAAUCCCAUAAACCGUGGCUCAGUUCAGAUCGUAGGCUGCAACUCGCCUACGUGAAGGAGGAAUCGCUAGUAAUCGCAGGUCAGCAUACUGCGGUGAAUACGUUCCCGGGCCUUGUACACACCGCCCGUCACACCAUGGAAGUUGGCCACGCCCGAAGCCGUUACUCCAACCCUUGUGGAGGAGGACGUCGAAGGUGGGGCUGAUGACUGGGGUGAAGUCGUAACAAGGUAGCCGAU